This 403-nucleotide ribosomal RNA is filed under the name uncultured bacterium. RNAcentral's name for it is "partial 16S ribosomal RNA". It matches the Rfam family "Bacterial small subunit ribosomal RNA", at positions 30 to 526 of the family's 1533-position model. The record is from RNAcentral.
AUUGAACGCUGGCGGCAGGCCUAACACAUGCAAGUCGAACGAGCGGCGGACGGGUGAGUAAUGUAGGGGGACUGCCCGAUAGAGGGGGCUAACUACUGGAAACGGUGGCUAAUACCUCAUCCUGUCGUAUAACCCAUAUGGGAUUAUCUAUUAGGUAAGGUAAUGGCUUACCUAGUCGAAGAUCCCUAUCUUGUCUGAGAGGAUGAUCAGCAACACUGGGACUUAGAAACGGCCCAGACUCCUACGGAGGGAGCAGUGGGGAAUAUUGCACAAUGGGGGCAAGCCUGAUGCAGCCAUGCCGCGUGUAUGAAGAAGGCCAUAGGGUUGUAAAGUACUUUCAGUCGGGAGGCGUUACCGACAGAAGAAGCACCGGCUAACUCCGUGCCAGCAGCCGCGGUAAUAC